This 508-nucleotide ribosomal RNA is filed under the name uncultured bacterium. RNAcentral's name for it is "bacterial SSU rRNA". It matches the Rfam family "Bacterial small subunit ribosomal RNA", at positions 17 to 518 of the family's 1533-position model. The record is from RNAcentral.
UCCUGGCUUAGGAUGAACGCUAGCGGCAGGCUAACACAUGCAAGUCGAGGGGCAGCGGGAUGUAGCAAUACAUUGCCGGCGACCGGCGGAUGGGUGCGUAACGCGUAUGCAACCUACCUUAUACAGGGGAAUAACCUUUCGAAAGGGAGACUAACACCCCAUAGUAUUGAUUUAAGGCAUCUUAGAUUAAUUAAAUAUUUAUAGGUAUAAGAUGGGCAUGCGUAUGAUUAGCUAGUUGGUAAGGUAACGGCUUACCAAGGCGACGAUCAUUAGGGGUUCUGAGAGGAAGGUCCCCCACACUGGUACUGAGACACGGACCAGACUCCUACGGGAGGCAGCAGUGAGGAAUAUUGGUCAAUGGGCGCAAGCCUGAACCAGCCAUGCCGCGUGCAAGGAAGACGGCCUUAUGGGUUGUAAACUGCUUUUACAUAAGACUAACCGUAUAUUUGCGAAUAUACCUGAAUGUAUUAUGAGAAUAAGGAUCGGCUAACUCCGUGCCAGCCGCAGC